AUUGAACGCUGACGGCAGGCCUAACCCAUUCAAGUCCAACGAUUGGCGGACGGGUGCGUAAUGUGUGGGAAACUGCCUGGUGGAGUGGUGUAACUACUGGAAACGGUAGCUACUACCGCAUACACUCGGAUGUGCCCCGAUGGGAUUAGCUAGUAGGUGGGGUAAAGGCUCACCUAGUCGACGAUCCCUCGCUGGUCUGAGAGGAUGACCAGCCACACUGGAACUGAGACACGGUCCAGACUCCUACGGGAGGCAGCAGUGGGGAAUAUUGAACAAUGGUCGCAAGCCUGAUGCAGCCAUGCCGCGAGUAUGAAGCAGGCUUGCGGGUCGUAAACUACUGUUAGGGGGGAGGCUUUACCCGCCGAAGAAGCAGCGGCUCAGCUCGUGCCAGCAGCCGCGGUAAUAC
This 406-nucleotide ribosomal RNA is filed under the name uncultured bacterium. RNAcentral describes it as "partial 16S ribosomal RNA". It matches the Rfam family "Bacterial small subunit ribosomal RNA", at positions 30 to 526 of the family's 1533-position model. The record is from RNAcentral.